This 1126-nucleotide long non-coding RNA is filed under the name Scleropages formosus (Asian bonytongue). RNAcentral's name for it is "lncRNA (ENSSFOG00015028479.1)". Lineage: Eukaryota; Metazoa; Chordata; Actinopteri; Osteoglossiformes; Osteoglossidae. The record is from RNAcentral.
GUCCAGAUGAAGGCGCCCCGUUUGGGCACGUGACCCGCCCCCGGGGUGUCGGUGAGAGGAUGCUGCCCAUUGGCUGGCUCCGCUCGUGCGGCACGCAGGGUGCAGGUCAGCGUGGCGGACAGGCGGGCCCAUUCACAGGCAAAACCGCCCCCCACCCCGGGAUGUUUCGUGCGGAGCCUGUGGGCGCGCUGCCGUUCACACACUGCCGCUGGCCAUGUCACCACUCGGCCUCCUCUGGCUCCUCGCAGCUCUCGUCACAUCUGGCUCCAGUUCCAGGGAGGCAGAUGGGCUCUGUGGUGCUCCCUGCACUGGUGAGAAAACAUCAUCUCGUUGAUACCCGGCAGCCCGGCAAGCCAUCUGUUGAAAUUAAAACCUACUAGUGAAAACACGCGACCUCUGACCCGCGGUACCCGAGAGGGAUGAGGUACACCUACAGGUACAGCACAGUGAGCACCAGCUCGCCGCCGCACGCGCCCUCUGAGAGCAGCGGACUCGCCCUCGACUGUCUGCUCGACGUGGACGUGCUGCCCGGCUGCCAGCUCACGAUGAAGUUGAGGAACUCCCAGAUAAAGAGAGUUUCGCCGCAGAAGGAGAAUUCAGCACAGCGCACUAAAAAUUUAAGGGAGGCGCUGGAGAGGAACCCCCUGAUGUUCUCCCUCCGUGACGGGAAGGUCGCCCAGGUCUGCCCCUGGGAGGGCGACCCCGUCUGGGCGCUCAACAUCAAGAGGGCCAUCGUGAGCAUGCUGCAGACCUCCCACGCCGGGGACCCUCGGGAAACGGUGAAGGAGACGGACGUGUACGGCACCUGCGUGAGCCACUACGAGCGGAGGGGGUCGGUCCUGGUGAAAACGCGGGACCUCCGGGGGUGCCUGCGCGACCGGCUAGCCGGGUUCUGGCUGCACUCGGUCCCACUGUCCCAGGACAAUGCUGUGGAAUCCAGCGUGCAGUGCGUGCAGCGCCAUGGCGACUCGGCAACCGAGGAGGUCAACUGUACGGAGACGGUGCGCUUGGCGCCGCUCGCCGGCCGGCCAGUGGGGGCCCGUGUCCGCUCUGUGUCCACCCUAACUCUGCUGAGGGCGCAGGACGGGGCGCCAGUGAGCCAAGGUGAACGCAUGGCCCGAGGAUG